This 404-nucleotide ribosomal RNA is filed under the name uncultured bacterium. RNAcentral describes it as "bacterial SSU rRNA". It matches the Rfam family "Bacterial small subunit ribosomal RNA", at positions 355 to 776 of the family's 1533-position model. The record is from RNAcentral.
UGGGGAAUAUUGGACAAUGGGGGAAACCCUGAUCCAGCAAUGCCGCGUGAAUGACGAAGGCCUUCGGGUUGUAAAGUUCUUUCGCCUGCGACGAUAAUGACGGUAGCAGGAUAAGAAGCUCCGGCUAACUCUGUGCCAGCAGCCGCGGUAAUACAGAGGGAGCUAGCGUUGUUCGGAAUGACUGGGCGUAAAGGGUGCGUAGGCCGCCUUUUAAGUAAGGUGUGAAAUCCUCUGGCUUAACCAGAGAACUGCAUUUUAAACUGAAAGGCUUGAGUACGGAAGAGGAAAGCGGAAUUUCUCAUGUAGAGGUGAAAUUCGUAGAUAUGAGAAGGAACACCAAAAGCGAAGGCAGCUUUCUGGAACGUAACUGACGCUGAGGCACGAAAGCGUGGGGAGCAAACAGG